This 443-nucleotide ribosomal RNA is filed under the name uncultured bacterium. RNAcentral's name for it is "partial 16S ribosomal RNA". It matches the Rfam family "Bacterial small subunit ribosomal RNA", at positions 338 to 795 of the family's 1533-position model. The record is from RNAcentral.
CCUACGGGUGGCAGCAGUGGGGAAUAUUGGGCAAUGGGCGCAAGCCUGACCCAGCAACGCCGCGUGAAGGAAGAAGGCUCUCGGGUUGUAAACUUCUUUUAUCAGGGACGAAGCAAGUGACGGUACCUGAUGAAUAAGCCACGGCUAACUACGUGCCAGCCGCCGCGGUAAUACGUAGGUGGCAAGCGUUAUCCGGAUUUACUGGGUGUAAAGGGCGUGUAGGCGGGAAAGCAAGUCAGAUGUGAAAACCAUGGGCUCAACCCGUGGCCUGCAUUUGAAACUGUUUUUCUUGAGUACUGGAGAGGAAGACGGAAUUCCUGGUGUAGCGGUGAAAUGCGUAGAUAUUAGGAGGAACACCGGUGGCGAAGGCGGUCUGCUGGACAGCAACUGACGCUGAGGCGCGAAAGCGUGGGGAGCAAACAGGAUUAGAUACCCCGGUAGUC